GGAGAGAUGGUUGAGCGGUUUAAGGCACACGCUUGGAAAGCGUGCGUACGUGAAAGCGUACCGGGGGUUCGAAUCCCCCUCUCUCCG
RNAcentral lists this transfer RNA (87 nucleotides) under Subdoligranulum sp. CAG:314. It matches the Rfam family "tRNA". Rfam says of the family: Transfer RNA (tRNA) molecules are approximately 80 nucleotides in length. Their secondary structure includes four short double-helical elements and three loops (D, anti-codon, and T loops). Lineage: Bacteria; Bacillati; Bacillota; Clostridia; Eubacteriales; Oscillospiraceae. The record is from Rfam by way of RNAcentral.